This 116-nucleotide ribosomal RNA is filed under the name Dirofilaria repens. Its description in RNAcentral is "partial 5.8S ribosomal RNA". The stretch from base 51 to 116 matches the Rfam family "5.8S ribosomal RNA", at positions 1 to 66 of the family's 154-position model. Rfam says of the family: 5.8S ribosomal RNA (5.8S rRNA) is a component of the large subunit of the eukaryotic ribosome. It is transcribed by RNA polymerase I as part of the 45S precursor that also contains 18S and 28S rRNA. Functionally, it is thought that 5.8S rRNA may be involved in ribosome translocation. The record is from RNAcentral. Lineage: Eukaryota; Metazoa; Nematoda; Chromadorea; Rhabditida; Onchocercidae.
ACACACAUACAAUAAUACGAUAUAAUUGUUAUUUAUAAUAAUUUUUCAAUAACUCUUAGCGGUGGAUCACUUGGCUCGUGGAUCGAUGAAGAACGCAGCUAGCUGCGAUAAAUAGU